RNAcentral lists this ribosomal RNA (253 nucleotides) under uncultured bacterium. RNAcentral's name for it is "partial 16S ribosomal RNA". It matches the Rfam family "Bacterial small subunit ribosomal RNA", at positions 524 to 776 of the family's 1533-position model. The record is from RNAcentral.
UACGAAGGGGGCUAGCGUUGUUCGGAUUUACUGGGCGUAAAGCGCACGUAGGCGGAUAGUUAAGUGAGAGGUGAAAUCCCAGGGCUCAACCCUGGAACUGCCUUUCAUACUGGCUAUCUCGAGUUCGGAAGAGGUGAGUGGAAUUCCUAGUGUAGAGGUGAAAUUCGUAGAUAUUAGGAAGAACACCGGUGGCGAAGGCGGCUCACUGGUCCGAUACUGACGCUGAGGUGCGAAAGCGUGGGGAGCAAACAGG